GAAUAUUGGACAAUGGGCGAAAGCCUGAUCCAGCCAUGCCGCGUGUGUGAUGAAGGCCUUAGGGUUGUAAAGCACUUUUAUCAGGGAAGAUAAUGACGGUACCUGAAGAAUAAGCACCGGCUAACUUCGUUCCAGCAGCCGCGGUAAUACGAAGGGUGCUAGCGUUGUUCGGAAUCACUGGGCGUAAAGCGCGCGUAGGUGGCUUCGCAAGUCAGGGGUGAAAUCCCAGAGCUCAACUCUGGAAUUGCCUUUGAAACUGCGAAGCUAGAGUAUUGGAGGGGAUAGCGGAAUUCCUAAUGUAGAGGUGAAAUUCGUAGAUAUUAGGAGGAACACCGGUGGCGAAGGCGGCUAUCUGGACAAUUACUGACACUGAGGUGCGAAAGCGUGGGGAGCAAACAGG
This 400-nucleotide ribosomal RNA is filed under the name uncultured bacterium. RNAcentral describes it as "bacterial SSU rRNA". It matches the Rfam family "Bacterial small subunit ribosomal RNA", at positions 359 to 776 of the family's 1533-position model. The record is from RNAcentral.